GAUGAAGAACGCAGCGAAAUGCGAUAAGUAAUGUGAAUUGCAGAAUUCAGUGAAUCAUCGAAUCUUUGAACGCACAUUGCGCCCGCCAGUAUUCUGGCGGGCAUGCCUGUCUGAGCGUCAUUUCAACCCUCAUGCCCCUAGGGCGUGGUGUUGGGGAUCGGCCAAAGCCCGCGAGGGACGGCCGGCCCCUAAAUCUAGUGGCGGACCCGUCGUGGCCUCCUCUGCGAAGUAGUGAUAUUCCGCAUCGGAGAGCGACGAGCCCCUGCCGUUAAACCCCCAACUUUCCAAGGUUGACCUCAGAUCAGGUAGGAAUACCCGCUGAACUCAAGCAUAUCAAUAAGCGGAGGA
This 348-nucleotide unclassified non-coding RNA is filed under the name soil metagenome. RNAcentral's name for it is "partial contains 5.8S ribosomal RNA, internal transcribed spacer 2, and large subunit ribosomal RNA". The stretch from base 1 to 120 matches the Rfam family "5.8S ribosomal RNA", at positions 35 to 154 of the family's 154-position model. The record is from RNAcentral.